Molecule: ribosomal RNA, 132 nt
Filed under: uncultured Agaricomycetes
Lineage: Eukaryota; Fungi; Basidiomycota; Agaricomycetes
Description: partial small subunit ribosomal RNA
Rfam family: Eukaryotic small subunit ribosomal RNA
Source: RNAcentral
GUCGCUACUACCGAUUGAAUGGCUCGGUGAGGCCUUCGGACUGGCUCCAGGGGGUUGGCAACGACCCCCCAGAGCCGGAAAGUUGGUCAAACCCGGUCAUUUAGAGGAAGUAAAAGUCGUAACAAGGUUUCC